GUAGGGUGCGAGCGUUAAUCGGAAUUACUGGGCGUAAAGCGUGCGCAGGCGGUUGUGCAAGACAGAUGUGAAAUCCCCGGGCUUAACCUGGGAAUUGCAUUUGUGACUGCACGGCUAGAGUGUGUCAGAGGGGGGUAGAAUUCCACGUGUAGCAGUGAAAUGCGUAGAUAUGUGGAGGAAUACCGAUGGCGAAGGCAGCCCCCUGGGAUAACACUGACGCUCAUGCACGAAAGCGUGGGGAGCAAACAGGAUUAGAUACCCUGGUAGUCCACGCCCUAAACKAUGUCUACUAGUUGUCGGGUCUUAAUUGACUUGGUAACGUCAGCUAACGCGUGAAGUAGACCGCCUGGGGAGUACGGUCKCAAGAUUA
RNAcentral lists this ribosomal RNA (370 nucleotides) under uncultured bacterium. RNAcentral describes it as "bacterial SSU rRNA". It matches the Rfam family "Bacterial small subunit ribosomal RNA", at positions 527 to 896 of the family's 1533-position model. The record is from RNAcentral.